This 324-nucleotide ribosomal RNA is filed under the name uncultured bacterium. RNAcentral describes it as "bacterial SSU rRNA". It matches the Rfam family "Bacterial small subunit ribosomal RNA", at positions 28 to 334 of the family's 1533-position model. The record is from RNAcentral.
GACGAACGCUGGCGGCGUGCCUAAUACAUGCAAGUUGAACGCUUGAUUUUCACCGAAGCUUGCUUCACCGAAAAUCAAGAGUAGCGAACGGGUGAGUAACGCGUGGGUAACCUACCUUUCAGCGGGGGAUAACUAUUGGAAACGAUAGCUAAUACCGCAUAACAAUGUUGGAUGCAUAUUCGACAUUUGAAAGUAUCAAUUGGUACACUGAGAGAUGGACCCGCGUUGUAUUAGCUAGUUGGUAGUGUAAUGGACUACCAAGGCGAUGAUACAUAGCCGACCUGAGAGGGUGAUCGGCCACAUUGGGACUGAGACACGGCCCAA